Molecule: ribosomal RNA, 406 nt
Filed under: uncultured bacterium
Lineage: Bacteria
Description: partial 16S ribosomal RNA
Rfam family: Bacterial small subunit ribosomal RNA
Source: RNAcentral
AUUGAACGCUGGCGGCAGGCCUAACACAUGCAAGUCGAACGAGUGGCGGACGGGUGAGUAAUGCUUGGGAAACUGCCCGAUGGAGGGGGAUAACUACUGGAAACGGUAGCUAAUACCGCAUACCAUCGGAUGUGCCCAAAUGGGAUUAGCUAGUUGGUGAGGUAACGGCUCACCAAGGCGACGAUCCCUAGCUGGUCUGAGAGGCUGACCAGCCACACUGGAACUGAGACACGGCCCAGACUCCGACGGGAGGCAGCAGUGGGGAAUAUUGCACAAUGGGGGCAAGCCUGACGCAGCCAUGCCGCGUGUAUGAAGAAGGCCUUCGGGUUGUAAAGUACUUUCGGCGGGGAGGCGUUACCUACAGAAGAAGCACCGGCUAACUCCGUGCCAGCAGCCGCGGUAAUAC